Harpegnathos saltator (Jerdon's jumping ant) is the source of this 74-nucleotide non-coding RNA. Lineage: Eukaryota; Metazoa; Arthropoda; Insecta; Hymenoptera; Formicidae. The record is from the annotation of a RefSeq genome assembly.
CCUUCGAUAGCUCAGUCGGUAGAGCGGUGGACUGUAGAUCCAUAGGUCGCUGGUUUCAAAUCCGGCUCGAAGGA